RNAcentral lists this transfer RNA (126 nucleotides) under Pseudocercospora eumusae. RNAcentral describes it as "Mycosphaerella eumusae tRNA". It matches the Rfam family "tRNA". From Rfam's summary of the family: Transfer RNA (tRNA) molecules are approximately 80 nucleotides in length. Lineage: Eukaryota; Fungi; Ascomycota; Dothideomycetes; Mycosphaerellales; Mycosphaerellaceae. The record is from Rfam by way of RNAcentral.
GGAGAUGUGGUCUAGUGGUCGGGCGCAGGCACCUCGAUUCAUUAGAGGUGGGCGAUUCAUUGGUCCAUGCUUCAUUCAUUGAUAAUAGGCAUGUCCUGCACGUAGGUUCGAUUCCUACCUUCUCCA